Long non-coding RNA from Nothoprocta perdicaria, 313 nucleotides. RefSeq lists it as uncharacterized. The transcript is spliced from 2 exons. NCBI's taxonomy places the organism in Eukaryota, Metazoa, Chordata, Aves, Tinamiformes, Tinamidae. The record is from RefSeq and is a predicted model, not a curated record.
GGAAAGACUUAUUCUCCUGAGUGGAGCAGGAAAGRAGGUGACAGACUCAUGAAACCAUAUCUGUCUUGUGAUGAAGAGGACACUUUAACRAUCAGUGAUAAUGUGAAGCACUAAAAAGCCUGAAAAGCCCUUGACUAUGUAAGAGGCAGCAUUUCACCGGUUAACUGAAAACUCAUCGCCUUUUCUGUGUGAAUAACUGAGAAAACAUGUGUGGUGUGGUCUCUUCUCUGGAACUGUUCCCUAUUGAUGAAGAAGGACAAGUCCCAGCAACAUGGAAGUGUAAUUUUAAAAUAAAAGCCUUCCUUAUUGAGCA